GAUUGAAUGGUCCGGUGAAGUGUUCGGAUCGCGGCGACGUGGGCGGUCCUGCUGCCGGCGACGUCGCGAGAAGUCCACUGAACCUUAUCAUUUAGAGGAAGGAGAAGUCGUAACAAGGUUUCCGUAGGUGAACCUGCGGAAGGAUCAUUGUCGAAACCUGCAAGGCAGAACGACCCGUGGACCGUUUGUGGCUCCUCAUUCUCGAGCGGCGGGGCCUUCGUGCCCAUCCGCUCGUCGCCCCAGGGCUAGGGACGUGGGCCGAGCCCACGCUCGCUAUCCUUGGGUGCAUACAACAAACCCCGGCGCAGAUCGCGCCAAGGAACAAGAAAGAAAGAGAGACGCGCUCCCAUGGUCCCGGAUACGGUGCGCCACGGGCAGCGUCGUCGAUGUGAGUAUUCGAAACGACUCUCGGCAACGGAUAUCUCGGCUCUCGCAUCGAUGAAGAACGUAGCGAAAUGCGAUACUUGGUGUGAAUUGCAGAAUCCCGUGAACCAUCGAGUUUUUGAACGCAAGUUGCGCCCGAAGCCGUCUGGCCGAGGGCACGUCUGCCUGGGUGUCAAGAAACGUCGCCAAACGUCCCUCUCCGCACCCUCCCCACCCGAGGGGGGGUGAGCAUCGAGGGCGGGCGGAUAUUGGCCUCCCGUGCGCGAUUGCUCGCGGUUGGCCCAAAAGAGAGUACCCCGGCGAGGCAGCCACGGCGUGCGGUGGUAGAAAGCGUAUGCUCUCCUCGGACACCGUCGUGGGCCGACCUCGUGGGGGCAGGAAAGACUAACUAAGGCCCCGAUGCGAAGUCGUGUUUCGCGAAGCGACCCCAGGUCAGGCGGGAGCACCCGCUGAGUUUAAGCAUAUCAAUAAGCGGAGGAAAAGAAACUUACGAGGAUUCCCCUAGUAACGGCGAGCGAACCGGGAACAGCCCAGCUUGAGAAUCGGAUGCCCUCGGCGUUCGAAUUGUAGUCUGGAGAAGCG
RNAcentral lists this unclassified non-coding RNA (966 nucleotides) under Salacia chinensis. Its description in RNAcentral is "partial contains 18S rRNA, ITS1, 5.8S rRNA, ITS2 and 28S RNA". The stretch from base 404 to 559 matches the Rfam family "5.8S ribosomal RNA". Lineage: Eukaryota; Viridiplantae; Streptophyta; Magnoliopsida; Celastrales; Celastraceae. The record is from RNAcentral.